Molecule: non-coding RNA, 26 nt
Filed under: Homo sapiens (human)
Lineage: Eukaryota; Metazoa; Chordata; Mammalia; Primates; Hominidae
Source: RNAcentral
UGGAAAUCUCCCAAGCUCCAAGGAUC